This 458-nucleotide ribosomal RNA is filed under the name uncultured Latescibacterota bacterium. RNAcentral describes it as "bacterial SSU rRNA". It matches the Rfam family "Bacterial small subunit ribosomal RNA", at positions 929 to 1382 of the family's 1533-position model. The record is from RNAcentral. Lineage: Bacteria; Pseudomonadati; Candidatus Latescibacterota.
GCGGUGGAGUAUGUGGUUAAUUCGACGCAACGCGCAGAACCUUACCUGGUCUUGACAUCCCGGGAAUUCCUUGAAAGAGGGAAGUGCCUCGCAAGAGGAGCCUGGAGACAGGUGGUGCAUGGUUGUCGUCAGCUCGUGUCGUGAGAUGUUGGGUUAAGUCCCGCAACGAGCGCAACCCUUAUCCCCAGUUGCCAUCAGGUAAAGCUGGGAACUCUGGGGAGACUGCCGGUGAUAAACCGGAGGAAGGCGGGGAUGACGUCAAGUCCUCAUGGCCCUUACAUCCCGGGCUACACACGUGCUACAAUGGCAGGUACAGAGGGCUGCGAAGCCGCGAGGUGGAGCGAAUCCCAGAAAACCUGUCUCAGUCCGGAUUGAAGUCUGCAACUCGACUUCAUGAAGGCGGAAUCGCUAGUAACCGCGAAUCAGCAGGUCCGCGGUCGAAUACGUUCCCGGGCCUU